UUUGUGUUUUUAUGUUUCAUCUAGGUCAUUAAUUUUGAUGGAUUUUUAUGGUUUAUUUUGAUAAUUACCAAUAAUGGAUAUAUGCUAACCAGAUGAGCACCAGAUUUUUUCAACAGAUUUGUGAUUGAAAUAUUAAACAUAUUUACGGUAAUCAAAGAAUAAGUCAGAUAGAUUGAUAUUACACGCGAUAACAUCAGGUUUAUUUAUAGAAGCACCCAUAUUGUUUCAUUUGUUGUAGUCAUGUCGUAAGAGAAGAAACUGACAAAUUGAACCUUUCAUUAAAAAAAGCAACAAAUCCAAAGUAUAAAAAAACUUUAAAAUGAUGGCGAAGAAAAAAAUAUAGCUGUUUGCGCCUCUGUUUCUGACCGUGCAAAUACUGGAUUUAGUUUAUCUUCAGCGUAAUUGACGAAAUUGACAACACUCCGGAUCAAUAAAACAUACUUGUCCUCGGGCGUUUCUACUUAGAUAUGAUCGUACUUUUAUUUCUGAAGCACGGAUAAAGUCAUGUAGGAAGCAGCUUAUUUCACUACAUAUUCGAGACACCGGAAAAUAAAAAAGAACAGUGAUAGGUGGAUCUGACUGCAUAUUAAAUGACACCGUGACAAUUCUUGAAACAUUUAUUUACCAAAAAUACAAAAACUAGUGAUAUACAACAAUAUGCAUAUGACAAACAUAAAAACAUAUUGUUUAAAAGUCUAAAUAAAAUAAAAUGUAUA
Long non-coding RNA from Ruditapes philippinarum (Manila clam), 716 nucleotides. RefSeq lists it as uncharacterized. The transcript has 2 exons. The record is from RefSeq and is a predicted model, not a curated record. NCBI's taxonomy places the organism in Eukaryota, Metazoa, Mollusca, Bivalvia, Venerida, Veneridae.